RNAcentral lists this ribosomal RNA (253 nucleotides) under uncultured bacterium. Its description in RNAcentral is "partial 16S ribosomal RNA". It matches the Rfam family "Bacterial small subunit ribosomal RNA", at positions 524 to 776 of the family's 1533-position model. The record is from RNAcentral.
UACGGAGGGGGCUAGCGUUGUUCGGAAUUACUGGGCGUAAAGCGUACGUAGGCGGCUUUGUAAGUUAGAGGUGAAAGCCCGGAGCUCAACUCCGGAAUUGCCUUUAAGACUGCAUCGCUCGAAUCGUGGAGAGGUGAGUGGAAUUCCGAGUGUAGAGGUGAAAUUCGUAGAUAUUCGGAAGAACACCAGUGGCGAAGGCGACUCACUGGACACGUAUUGACGCUGAGGUACGAAAGCCAGGGGAGCAAACGGG